Long non-coding RNA from Gadus chalcogrammus (walleye pollock), 1504 nucleotides. RefSeq lists it as uncharacterized. NCBI's taxonomy places the organism in Eukaryota, Metazoa, Chordata, Actinopteri, Gadiformes, Gadidae. The transcript has 4 exons. The record is from RefSeq and is a predicted model, not a curated record.
AUUCAUGCUGCUGGUUUUGUUUAUGCAUGCUGCUGGUUUUGUUUAUUCAUGCUGCUGGUUUUGUUUAUUCAUGCUGCUGGUUUUGUUUGCUCGUGCUGCUGGUUUUGUUUAUUCAUGCUGCUGUUUUUGUUUAUUCAUGCUGCUGGUUUUGUUUGCUCGUGCUGCUGGUUUUGUUUGCUGAUGGUUUUGUUUGCUGCUGGUUUUGUUUGCCCAUGCUGCUGGUUGGUUUGAUGCUUACUGACUUGUUGUUCGUCAUUGCUGCAGUGUAUUAGGUUCAAACAGGACCGGAGAUGUUGUGGGGUUGGACCAGUCUGGAGGACUCAUUGUGGUCUUGGGUUCUGGACCAGGGUCUAGUUUGGGUCUGGUGAACUUUGACUUGGUUGAGUAUCUUGAGUUUGGUUUCUGAAUAAUUUGUCGUGUUGGAAAUGGACGAAUUUGGCCGAACGACCGGCAGUGCUGCUGAACUGGGGGCCAUUGGUUCAAUCAAUUGCACAAGCAUCUUGGCCUUGAACUGGUACUUUACGGUGACUUGAAACAUAAAAUGGACGAAUUUCUAUUCAGUUAUUUAUCAUGAAACUUUGUGGCUUACAGCUUAAUAAUUUUAUUUGACAAAUUUGAAAAUGAUCUCAACACUUACAAAAUGUCAGUGCAAACGGCAGCAUUAUCAGCAACGCAAAGUUCAAACGCCAGCAUUAUCAGCGACGCAAAGUUCCGUGCCUUGAAAGGUCUGGAAAUCUGCCACGUCAGCAGAGCGGCCAUUUACACCGGCCCAGACGGAUGCAGACCUUCCAUCUCCUGCUGAGGAGCCGCUCAGGCAGUACCGGCUGGCCCGGGAAGGGAAUUUCUGGACCAGACCUGAGGGUGGGAUGACUCUGAGGAGGAAGACUCACUUCCAUCCAGGAGGAGACCCGGUUCAGCAGAUCCUAGACCUAGAGGAGCAUCAAUGCGUUGAGGGACCCGAACUUCAGAGUGAGAGGCCAGGACCAGGUAGAUCUACCGUUCCAAGUAACCCGAACACCCCCACCUCUCCGUCAGGUGGGCAGCGGCCCACGGCUCCACCCCACCAAGUUGACUCAACCUACCAACGUCUUCCAGUCUGGAGCAGACGCCCUGACCCAACCUGCGCCACCCAGAAUGAAAGCCCCAGAAGUCCCCAGGGAUGAGGAGAUGCUAAGUUACUGGGAGGAGGGUCCCCCUGGGCAGUCCUUAUCUUGGUUUACUCCUCUUCCUCGGAUUGCGUUAGUGUUGUCCUUAUAAGGGCUUGGUGGGUGCUGUCUCUUUUCUGAAGGCGGGACAUCUGAAGGGAUGUCUAGCCAAUUAAAUAGCUUUACAUGAAUAGAAGAUGGAAAACCAUCUAUUGUAAGUCUCUAUUUACUUUUUUGGUUACUUUUCAAUGUUCUCAGCACCUCUGCUGAAUGUAACUUUGUAGCAGAUAGACAAUUGUUGUUUUUUUCAGUCAGCAAAUGUUACUGUGAGUUGUGUUUUUCAUGUGUUGAAUAAAAUG